RNAcentral lists this ribosomal RNA (254 nucleotides) under uncultured bacterium. RNAcentral's name for it is "partial 16S ribosomal RNA". It matches the Rfam family "Bacterial small subunit ribosomal RNA", at positions 524 to 776 of the family's 1533-position model. The record is from RNAcentral.
UACGUAGGGCGCAAGCGUUGUCCGGAAUUACUGGGCGUAAAGGGCUCGUAGGUGGCCAACUAAGUCAGACGUGAAAUCCCUCGGCUUAACCGGGGAACUGCGUCUGAUACUGGAUGGCUUGAGUUUGGGAGAGGGACGCGGAAUUCCAGGUGUAGCGGUGAAAUGCGUAGAUAUCUGGAGGAACACCGGUGGCGAAGGCGGCGUCCUGGACCAACACGUGACACUGAUGAGCGAAAGCCAGGGGAGCAAACGGG